CUUACACCUAGAGGCUCUCGCUCUACGGCCGGAACCUUGUUGCUAGGGACCGGGCGGUUUGCGGCAACCGUGGGCACUGCUGAAUUUGAAUUGAGGGGCGAGGGAAAAGUUUUCCUCAGGUGUGGUGGGGAGAGGGAGGCGGAUGCCGGGAAACCGUAGGGACGCGGUCAGAAAGGCGACGGGCUGUCGGAGUUGGAAAGGUAAAGUUGGAGGCUCGGCGGCGUCCUGCCUCCGCGCUGGCCACACCCGCCGCGGCUGCCCGGGGCAGGGAGGGAUCUGGCUGAUUCUCCCUGUACCCUGUGCCCUCGGAGCUGCCCCUCCGAGCGCCCAGAGGUCCCCGCCUGCCUGCUUCCUGGAGGCAGGGCUACCAUCAGUCCCACGCCUCGCGUGUCCGCCCCCCGCACCCCGGGGCCAAGGAAAGGGAUCGCGGUCUGGACUCCCCGGGGAGUUCCCUUGAUGAGGGGAAGGGCAGGUUUGGGGACGGCGAGGACACGCGGCGACCGGAGAGAGGCUACCUGACCCGCGCAGCCCGGACUCCCUUCCCUUCCCUUCCAGGGACGCCUGGUUUCCCCCCAAGCGAACCGGGAUGGGAAGUGACUUCAAUGAGAUUGAACUUCAGCUGGAUUGAAAGAGAGGCUAGAAGUUCCGCUUGCCAGCAGCCUCCUUAGUAGAGCGGAAUGAGUAAUACCCACACGGUGCUUGUCUCACUUCCCCAUCCGCACCCGGCCCUCACCUGCUGUCACCUCGGCCUCCCACACCCGGUCCGCGCUCCCCGCCCUCUUCCUCGCGUAGAACCGUGGGAUCCUAGGUGGCAGGACUCAGAGCUAAGGUAUCCACAGGCCAUGAAUUCCUUCCUAAAUGAGCGGUCAUCGCCGUGCAGGACCUUAAGGCAAGAAGCAUCGGCUGACAGAUGUGAUCUCUGAACCUGAUAGAUUGCUGAUUUUAUCUUAUUUUAUCCUUGACUUGGUACAAGUUUUGGGAUUUCUGAAAAGACCAUACAGAUAACCACAAAUAUCAAGAAAGUCGUCUUCAGUAUUAAGUAGAAUUUAGAUUUAGGUUUCCUUCCUGCUUCCCACCUCCUUCGAAUAAGGAAACGUCUUUGGGACCAACUUUAUGGAAUAAAUAAGCUGAGCUGUAUUUCAAGUAAUAUAGUUAUAAAUUAACAAUGUAGCAGUUAUUGAUAGAGAAAUUGAGAAAACUGAAACGUGACCGGAGUAUUGGAAAUAACGUAGUACAUCACCUAGCACAAUGACACAUAGUAGGUGCUCAAUAAAUUUAUGCUUAUAAUUUUUGUCACUUCUAUGGCAGGAUUUUUUUAUUAGGUUAAAAUUAUCUUUUAAACACCUUCCGGAAUUUUAGAAUAUUCAUUAAUAAUGUCUUCAAACCUUUCAACUGAAAUAAAUUUACAGCUGAAGUCUGAUGAUUUAAAGUUAGAAAGUUUAAUCUUGAAUAUAAAUGAACAUUUUCUCUCCCACAUUUUCUUGGGCAUUUUGAGAAGUAAAUGCGUUAUUUAUUGGUCCAUGAAAUGUGACUGUAAAUAUUCUUUGCUAUACAUUAUGUCUAUAUAUCUGCAUUCAUCCUCAAUGCCAAAACUAGAAUCAUUAGUCUUAAUGAUCAUUUUAAGUACAGGCAGUCCUCGCUUUCCUUGAUACCAUGUUAACCGAAACUUGUGUAUGUCAACACGGUGUCCUUGCUUUGCUUGGUUAAGUGUGAGUUCUUCCUCCCUUUUUUUAAGAGUUGUACAAUGUUUUUCAGUCGCCUACCGAAUCAGGUCAUAGACUAUGGAAUUGACCCCACCCCACCAACAUUUUUACAGCUACCCUGAUUUCUGACCAGAAAGGAAAAAAAAACUUUCCAGCUCUAUCACACAUUUUACCUACUCUUAAACUUAGGAGGUAUUACAAAUAGCAUUUUCUCAUGUUCUCUUUCUGGCCUGUACCUCCCUGCUAAGCUUCCUUCAGUGUUCAUCCUCACCUCAUAGAGAGAUGAAGUGAAGAGACAAACAGAAGUCAUUUUCUUCCUUACUUUAGUGGUUUCUGGUUUAGUUAGUUUGGGCCAAACUGUGGACAAGUACCUUUUCAGGUAACUUUUUUUUCUUAUUUCUAUGUCCUCAACACCUAGUGGAGUACGUAGCCAAUAGUAGAUGCUUAAUAAACAUUUCUUAAAUUAAUAUUGUUGACCUUUUCUGACCCUGUUCUUGACAGUAAGGUACAUAAUCUGCCUUCAUCCCUUUAGUCCUUAGGAACAGAUAAAGUCAUGGAUAUGAAAGUGAUCACUGUCAUUAAUAUCCACAUUAAAAUUGCUCUUGAUUUUAGUUUCUCCAUAAUCAUUUUCCCUAAACAAUGAACUCUGUUCACCUUUUUUUUUAAAAUAUGCACAGUGAAUAUUACUGGUAGCCCAAAUCUUCUAACAUAAAAUUUCCAUUUUGUAAAAGCUUCUGAUAAGCAUAUAUGUUAUGAAUUGAAUGUUUGAUUAUUAUACUUUAAUAUUCUUGAAAAUAUUGAUACCUGGACUGGAAAGAAAACAGACAAAAGUAAAUCUCAGAAUAAAUUACUGCUUUAAACAUGAAAAAAAAAAAAAAAAAAAA
Molecule: long non-coding RNA, 2587 nt
Filed under: Homo sapiens (human)
Lineage: Eukaryota; Metazoa; Chordata; Mammalia; Primates; Hominidae
Description: ZEB1 antisense RNA 1, transcript variant 4 (ZEB1-AS1)
Source: RNAcentral